Molecule: ribosomal RNA, 759 nt
Filed under: uncultured bacterium
Lineage: Bacteria
Description: bacterial SSU rRNA
Rfam family: Bacterial small subunit ribosomal RNA
Source: RNAcentral
AGAGUUUGAUUCUGGCUCAGAUUGAACGCUGGCGGCAGGCUUAACACAUGCAAGUCGAGCGGAAACGAAGGUAGCUUGCUACCAGGCGUCGAGCGGCGGACGGGUGAGUAAUGCUUGGGAAUCUACCGAGUAGUGGGGGAUAGCCAUUGGAAACGAUGAUUAAUACCGCAUAUAUCCUACGGGGGAAAGCAGGGGACCUUCGGGCCUUGCGCUAUUCGAUGAGCCUGAGUGAGAUUAGCUAGUUGGUGGGGUAAAGGCCUACCAAGGCGACGAUCUCUAGCUGGUCUGAGAGGAUGAUCAGCCACACUGGGACUGAGACACGGCCCAGACUCCUACGGGAGGCAGCAGUGGGGAAUAUUGCACAAUGGACGAAAGUCUGAUGCAGCCAUGCCGCGUGUGUGAAGAAGGCCUUCGGGUUGUAAAGCACUUUCAGCGAGGAGGAAAGGUCAGUAAGUAAUAUUUGCUGGCUGUGACGUUACUCGCAGAAGAAGCACCGGCUAAUUUAGUGCCAGCAGCCGCGGUAAUACUAAAGGUGCAAGCGUUAAUCGGAAUUACUGGGCGUAAAGCGCGCGUAGGUGGUUUGUUAAGUUGGAUGUGAAAGCCCAGGGCUCAACCUUGGAACUGCAUUCAAAACUGACUCACUAGAGUACGAGAGAGGUUAGUGGAAUUUCCUGUGUAGCGGUGAAAUGCGUAGAGAUGGGAAGGAACACCAGUGGCGAAGCGACUGACUGGCUCGAUACUGACACUGAGUGCGAAGCG